UACGAAGGGGGCUAGCGUUGCUCGGAAUCACUGGGCGUAAAGGGUGCGUAGGCGGGUCUUUAAGUCAGGGGUGAAAUCCUGGAGCUCAACUCCAGAACUGCCUUUGAUACUGAAGAUCUUGAGUCCGGGAGAGGUGAGUGGAACUGCGAGUGUAGAGGUGAAAUGCGCAGAUAUCAGGAAGAACACCCGUGGCGAAGGCGGUUCUCUGGGACGGUACUGACGCUGAGACGCGAAAGCGUGGGGAGCGAACAGG
This 253-nucleotide ribosomal RNA is filed under the name uncultured bacterium. RNAcentral describes it as "partial 16S ribosomal RNA". It matches the Rfam family "Bacterial small subunit ribosomal RNA", at positions 524 to 776 of the family's 1533-position model. The record is from RNAcentral.